GGGUCUGUAGGCUCAGGUGGUUAGAGCGCCACCCUGAUAAGGGUGCAGGUCGGUAGUUCGAGUCUAGCCCAGACCCACCA
This 80-nucleotide transfer RNA is filed under the name Stenotrophomonas maltophilia. RNAcentral describes it as "tRNA-Ile". It matches the Rfam family "tRNA". Rfam says of the family: Transfer RNA (tRNA) molecules are approximately 80 nucleotides in length. Their secondary structure includes four short double-helical elements and three loops (D, anti-codon, and T loops). The record is from RNAcentral. Lineage: Bacteria; Pseudomonadati; Pseudomonadota; Gammaproteobacteria; Lysobacterales; Lysobacteraceae.